GAGCCGUUAGUUCUGCCUCAAUCUUGUCAGGUAUUAAUACAGAACAUGUGCUUGUCCAGCAGGUGCUCUCCGUAAAUAUCAGAUGAAGUCCUGAUAUAUUAGAACAGAAGAAGGAGAGAAAGAUACAGGAGGAAAAAAAUGGAAUCUUAGAAGGGGAAAAUGAAAGCCAAGCAAAAAAGGGAAGAAAUGAAAGAAAUAAGAAAGGGGGAAAUAAAAAAGGAAGAGAAGAGAAGACAAUGAAGGAAGGAAACCAUAAAAAUCUCAUCCUGGUAUAUACUUUUUAUCUGAUACUUCUUACUGGAUAAGACUCUGAGCCCAGGAGAUUUCUGCAAGCUUUCCAGUUUAAACUGACAAUAAUGAUCAUCAAUUUAUAUAAGAUAAAAUUUGGCCAAAAAUAAAUGAGACAUACAGGAACAUUCUACUGGAAGAAAGCAGUAUAAAUGACCAAAACAAUGAAGAAAUACUAUGA
RNAcentral lists this long non-coding RNA (469 nucleotides) under Aotus nancymaae (Ma's night monkey). RNAcentral describes it as "lncRNA (ENSANAG00000039463.1)". The record is from RNAcentral. Lineage: Eukaryota; Metazoa; Chordata; Mammalia; Primates; Aotidae.